CGACCGACACUUAAMGCAGCUUGUUUAACGCACCACCGCRUGUCGGAGCGCUCAAGGCGUCCUUGGCUCGGAUUUUGGCCAACCGCGUGCGGUAACACACGGGAGACCAACUUCCGUCCCAUUAUCCGUAAAGGAUUGGGGACGACGAUUUGUGACACCCAGGCAGACGUGCCCUCGGCCAGAAGGCUUGGGGCGCAACUUGCGUUCAAAGACUCGAUGGUUCACGGGAUUCUGCAAUUCACACCAAGUAUCGCAUUUCGCUACGUUCUUCAUCGAUGCGAGAGCCGAGAUAUCCGUUGCCGAGAGUCGUUUUAGACUUUAGAUCACAGCGCAUCAUCCACACUCGGACCGUUUCCGGGGAGGCAAAGGAUGGCUGUUCUGUUGCAUGUUCCUUGACACUUUUCGUGCCGGGGUUUUGUUAUAUCCAGAAGCUACCCUCACGACCCAAGCGACAUAAAKCUCCCGAGUGGGAAGGAACACGAACCCACGGAUUCRGCAAGCACGGRAUCAGCUAAGAAACCGGCCCACCGUAAGUGAUGAUCGUAUGUUCACGGKUCRUUCUGUUUUGKACAGGUAUCAACAAUGAUCCUUCCGCAGGUUCUCCUACGGAAACCUUGUUACGACUUCUCCNUC
RNAcentral lists this unclassified non-coding RNA (633 nucleotides) under Descurainia argentina. Its description in RNAcentral is "sequence contains ITS1, 5.8S rRNA gene and ITS2". The record is from RNAcentral. Lineage: Eukaryota; Viridiplantae; Streptophyta; Magnoliopsida; Brassicales; Brassicaceae.